UAUAUAUAUAGUUAUAUAUAAUUAAUACAUACUACAACUGUGAGAAAUAAAAAGUUCAAUCGUCCAUUUUUAGAAUAUAGUACUUAGCCUUAAUUGGGAUGUAAGAUCCAAUUGUAGUCAUUUUGAGAUCCAAUUGUUACAAUUUUAACUAUAGCCCUUCCCUUGGCCUGCCCCAAUUUUAAAACUGACCAAAAGCAUAGAUUGUAACCCUGAGCUCCUCCUAUCAGACCAAGGGGCAGUGCUGUGUUAGGAAUUAAAACAGGUAGACUUCCUGCCCAAGUGUGCUUGCUUGCCAGACUUUUGUAGCACCCCCUUCUGCAUAUGUAAAGUUUGCCUUGCCAAGAUACUUCCAAGCAUGUUUGAUUCCUUGUGGCAACCCAGUAUUUCUUUUUUUCAAAUAUUUUAUUAGUUAUUGAUGGAUCUUUAUUUAUUUAUUUGCUUAUAUGUGGUGCUGAAACUCAAACCCAGUGCCUCAUACAUGCUAGGCAAGCACUCUACCACUGAGCCACAACCCAGCCCCGAAAACCAGUAUUUCUAAAAAUUUAGGCAACAAACGUGGGGGCUCCAUAUGUCACCUAGGAGGUUGUGGGGACUCCCUGCUUAGAGGAGACACGUCCUGCUGCCUUGUGACAGCUUCAGAGCAGGUAAGGAAAUCUCAGAUCCCUGAGGCCAAUAACAGACCCAAAAUUCAAAAGUGGAUCUGCAGUGCAGGAAAAGGGCCCUAAUAACCACCAUAGCAAUCAGGUAACUUCAUGCUUAGACCAAGGUAGGAAAAUUUAUUCUUAAGAAAGUACUUCCUUCGUGGUCAAGACAUCCCAGAAGUUGUGUGAGUGUGACUGAGAACCUCUAUUCAGAAAUAGGAAAUCAUACUCAGGAAAGCAGGAUAAGGUGGGGGCAGGUGCAAGAAAUCCCCAGUGAGGAGAACUGAACAUGGGCUAUAAAGAAACCUCCAAUAGGGGGGUUGAGUACAUAAGGGGAAACUCAAUUAUAGGAACCUACAAAAAAAAUGGGGAAUAAAAAUUUGAGACCUAGAGACUGGGAGGGACAAUGGAAAGAUCUAAUAUGUACAAGUCUUCUUUUCCUUUGAAGAUUUCUAAGCAGGGAAAAUAAACAGUGGUAAUGCUGAGAGUAAAUCUGCCCCAUGGAGGAUGAGCAACCACGUGAAUCUUUGAUUUCAGUGUCCUCCACUGCUGACAGACUCUAUUCCUAAUGUUCCCAAUUGCACAGGCCCUUUUCCUGUCUGGUCCAUAUUGUAAAAAUCUAUUUUAAUUUCUAAAGUGUUAAAUCUGAUAGUUCUUUUGACUCAUACCUGUAGGGAUUUAACAGCUACCAAAUCUUUGUUUCCUGUUUGUUUCAUGUGUACUUGUGCAUAUUUGUAUCAUGUCUAUGUAUGUGCUUGUGUCUAUAAUCAUGUACAUGGUCUCAGAAUUGGCUUAUAAAUAAAUGAGUACUCAUAAAUUUAAGAAUGGAUUCAAAUGCCUUUCAGUUCAUAUGACUUAAACAAAACUAACAAAAAUGGUCGAUCUAAACUAGUAAGAAAAAAGAUGCCUUUGAAA
This 1556-nucleotide long non-coding RNA is filed under the name Marmota monax (woodchuck). The record is from RNAcentral. Lineage: Eukaryota; Metazoa; Chordata; Mammalia; Rodentia; Sciuridae.